RNAcentral lists this long non-coding RNA (1567 nucleotides) under Strigops habroptila (Kakapo). Its description in RNAcentral is "lncRNA (ENSSHBG00005018206.1)". The record is from RNAcentral. Lineage: Eukaryota; Metazoa; Chordata; Aves; Psittaciformes; Psittacidae.
GGGAAAAAAUGGGGCAUUACCCAUUUUAUUGCAGUCCAGAAUAAGAAGGAAACAUUUAUAAAGGAGAGAAAAGCAGCAGUGCAAUCUUUGUCUUUAAAAUAUUUUGGGAGAAGACUUUGACUUAGCAAACAGCAUCAUUUCAAACUAUACCAAGGCAAACACCAUUUUCAGAUCAUCUUAAAUCCACAGUGAGCCCCAUCCAUCCAUCCUGGCCACUUUGCCCCUCCCAAAAGGGCAUUUUGCCCUUUGCUCAUCCCUAAAGCCCCUCUUAAAUGCGUAUCCCAAACGAUGCACUUGCACCAGGAGGAAGCUGAGAUUUACGAUACACAUCCAAAGAAACAGCAUUUCCAAGUCAAUAAGACAGCAGAGAAAGGCUCCCAGUAAGCUGAGGAAUGGACCUGCCAUUUCAGAGCUCAGAGAAAACAAAUAUGGAAAUCUGCAGUGUGGGAGUGUGCCAGCGCUGGGGGCGAGAGGGAUGGGGCUGGGAGGAUUUCCAGCUCCACACAGCCUCUUUACUUCUGUACCAUAGCCCUCCAAGCCCUGGGGGCUGACACUAGGCCAUGGUAACUGCUAAUGCAAGGGGAUAAUUAGAGGUUUAGGUGGAGAUUAGGAACAAUUCCUUCUCCAAAGGGUGCUCAGGCAUUGGAACAGGCUGCCCAGGGCAGUGCUGGAGUCACUGUCCCUGGAAAUGUUCACACACCGUGUAGACGAGGCCUCAGUGCCAUGGGUUAGUGGUGGCCUUGGCAGUCCUGGAGGGACAGUUGGACUGGAUGAGCUUAAAGGUCUUUUCCAACCUGGCUGCUUCCAUGACUCCAUGAUUUCAGUGCCACCCACCCCUGGCAUAGGCAACUGCUGGGUUUCCCAGCCUGAGCAUCACCAGAAUAGCCAUGAGGAAGCACUGCCCGCGCCAGGGGAGUUGCCUCCCAGCAGGGUCCCGCAGUGCCAGGGGCACACCAUGUCCCCUCAGCUGCCACCCAGGCUGGCGGGGUGGGACGCAGGGUGGGACGUGGCGAGGGACGCUCGGGGGCUCACCUGGGGCAGGGCGCUGCGGGAGCUGAGCACCAGGCUGCACACGCUGGCCGGUGCCGCCGUCCUCCGUGCCGUCACCCUCACCAGCCGCGGCGGCGUCCCCGGUGCGCUGCCCCCAGCUCCUGCGGGGAGCCUCUGCUCGCCGUCCCGGCACGGCUCUUACCUCAGGUGAGUGCUGGGGCUCUGCGGGUGGGAUGGCAGAGCCGGCCCCAUGCUGCUGCCGAGCAGUGCCAUGGUGCGUGUCUGGGCCGGGGGGCUGCAGGGGCGCGGAGCGCAGCGUGAAGUCGUAGAAUUCAUGGAUAUCUGCAGAGCCUGGAAGAGUUCACUUUGGAAGAUGUGCGAGACUUUUCCAAUGGAAGCUUUUAGCUCCUGCUCCUCCGGGGACUGCAGGGUGCUUUGGUAUCUGGUCAGAAUUUCCACUGCCCGUUCAGGCGCUCCUUACCUUCCCUGCGGAUCAUCGCUCCGCCGUGGCCAGCGGCCGCUCCGCUCGGUGCCAGCCCCCGAGGAGCCGCCGCCGCCGCCCGCCUCUCCCCGCCCC